UGGCUCAGUUAGUAGAGCAUGGCACUUGCGAAGCCAGGGUUGUGGGUUAGAUCCCCAC
RNAcentral lists this transfer RNA (58 nucleotides) under Salmo salar (Atlantic salmon). It matches the Rfam family "tRNA", at positions 8 to 63 of the family's 71-position model. From Rfam's summary of the family: Transfer RNA (tRNA) molecules are approximately 80 nucleotides in length. Their secondary structure includes four short double-helical elements and three loops (D, anti-codon, and T loops). The record is from Rfam by way of RNAcentral. Lineage: Eukaryota; Metazoa; Chordata; Actinopteri; Salmoniformes; Salmonidae.